Molecule: ribosomal RNA, 333 nt
Filed under: uncultured bacterium
Lineage: Bacteria
Description: bacterial SSU rRNA
Rfam family: Bacterial small subunit ribosomal RNA
Source: RNAcentral
CGUGUAGGCGGAUGGGAACGUCGGCGACUGAAAGCCCCCGGCUCAACCGGGGAAGUGGUGCCGAAACGACCUGUCUGGAGGGACGUAGGGGGAUCUGGAACUUCCGGUGGAGCGGUGAAAUGCGUUGAGAUCGGAAGGAACGCCCGUGGCGCAAGCGAGGUCCUGGACGUCUGCUGACGCUGAGACGCGAAAGCUAGGGGAGCAAACGGGAUUAGAUAUCCCGGUAGUCCUAGCCGUAAACGAUGGGCACUGGGUAGGGGGCUCGCCGAUGGGCUCUCUGCCGGAGCGAAAGCGUGAAGUGCCCCGCCUGGGGAGUAUGGUCGCAAGGCUGAA